UGGGGAAUAUUGGACAAUGGGCGAAAGCCUGAUCCAGCCAUGCCGCGUGUGUGAAGAAGGUCUUCGGAUUGUAAAGCACUUUAAGUUGGGAGGAAGGGCAUUAACCUAAUACGUUAGUGUUUUGACGUUACCGACAGAAUAAGCACCGGCUAACUCUGUGCCAGCAGCCGCGGUAAUACAGAGGGUGCAAGCGUUAAUCGGAAUUACUGGGCGUAAAGCGCGCGUAGGUGGUUUUUUAAGUUGGAUGUGAAAGCCCCGGGCUCAACCUGGGAACUGCAUUCAAAACUGACUGACUAGAGUAUGGUAGAGGGUGGUGGAAUUUCCUGUGUAGCGGUGAAAUGCGUAGAUAUAGGAAGGAACACCAGUGGCGAAGGCGACCACCUGGACUAAUACUGACACUGAGGUGCGAAAGCGUGGGGAGCAAACA
Molecule: ribosomal RNA, 427 nt
Filed under: uncultured bacterium
Lineage: Bacteria
Description: partial 16S ribosomal RNA
Rfam family: Bacterial small subunit ribosomal RNA
Source: RNAcentral